Molecule: non-coding RNA, 188 nt
Filed under: Pseudanabaenococcus habilitatus PCC 7502
Lineage: Bacteria; Bacillati; Cyanobacteriota; Cyanophyceae; Pseudanabaenales; Pseudanabaenaceae
Description: Synechococcus sp. PCC 7502 6S / SsrS RNA
Rfam family: 6S / SsrS RNA
About the family: E. coli 6S RNA was the first non coding RNA to be sequenced, but its function was unknown until recently. It consists of 184 nucleotides that fold into an extended hairpin structure with a large single-stranded internal bulge. The 6S RNA specifically associates with RNA polymerase holoenzyme containing the sigma70 specificity factor.
Source: Rfam by way of RNAcentral
AAUCCUCUGUGAUGUGCGUGACUGCCAAAAACGUUCUUUGAUCUAUAAGCGUUUUUAAGGAAGCACCCUCAGGUUAGUGGCAGUAAACCAGACUUGUAUCUGGAAACUUUAAGCUAGCUAAAUGCCCAGCUUCCACCUUGGUUAUCCCGGGGUCAAAAACUGCGGUAAGACGGCAUUACGGAGGGGGU